Molecule: RNA transcript, 712 nt
Organism: Penaeus monodon (black tiger shrimp)
Lineage: Eukaryota; Metazoa; Arthropoda; Malacostraca; Decapoda; Penaeidae
Gene name: metallothionein-1-like
Exons: 2
Source: RefSeq, a predicted model, not a curated record
GGAAUUGUCGCGAAUGAAAUUAACGACAGUUUCUAGUGUCGUAAGACAGUUUUUUUGUCAGCGGAAAUAAGGCCUAAAAUAAGUGAAUACGCCCUGCACACGGCUCUCAAACUCUCGCUCUGCUCACGGCUCGCUCUCGCUCGCUUCCGCGCUCUCGCUCUCGGCUUUUAAAUCAUUAUUCACUCAUGGCCUCUAAAGCAUUUUUUUUUUUGCAUACGAUUGGGAAGUAAGCUUAAAAUGAAUGAAUGAUUAUAUAGUUAGAUUCGGUUUUAUAUUAUUGACUGUUUGUCGCUGCUUUAAGGAUUCUUACCAAAAUGAUAUAAAACACAGUUUAGGUCACAGUCUUAUCGCCUGUAUAAUACUUAAAAACACCUGAUAUAAAAUCAUCCCUGGCUAUGUUACGCAUGCAUAAAUAUAUAAAAGAUUAGUUUCAGUUCAAUCGUUAAAAGCUUAACUGGCAACGGUGACGCCCCUGCACACGGCACGCAGCUGGCUGUCUUACGUCAAUAUAAACAUUGUACACGUGGUGUCUGACGUAGAAGGUCAGCAAGUAGUACAUCCACUUCGUGUGAUCGUGCUCAAUUCCACUGAAUUUCACUCAAGAUGCCUGGUCCCUGCUGCAUUGAUAAAUGCGAGUGCGCCGAGGGAGGCUGCAAGACAGGAUGCGUGUGCAAGAGCUGUCGCUGUGAACCCUGUGAGAAAUGUAAGUAUU